GCUUUCCCUCGCUCUCAUAUGGAGUUCGGAAAGCAAUGCAAGAAUCCAGUCGUGUCAAUUUGAAAAGGCGGCUUUGCAGGGAGUUUUCCACCACAGGAAAGUCUUCAAGAUGAAGGACUUUGCGCUUUAACUUCGCCAUGUCGUAACUCCUGCAUCACGGCCCACCGCUGUCCAGCGUUUUAAUCUGUACAUGGUGUUUUCCUGAAGUGCUGUAGGAACCCUCAGGGUAGCAUUGCAUAAAUCCUGGAGCUCUGCGAUAUCUUGUGUGCGUGUUAAAGUUAUUAUACACCUAUUAUUAUGCUUUUUCAGAUGUCACCUUUCACGUAGUGUGUUAUAGAGCCGUUUGUGAACGUAAAAACGUCUGCAAAGUUUCAAAAAUCAAAGCACAUGACAAACUGAGUUAUUGACUCUCAAAAGAAGGAAGCGAUUCUGAACAGCUGAAACGAGUCGUUAGUCAUUCCACAGUUACUUCCUGUACAGACCUGCGUAGGUUUGUAAUAAAAAGCCCUGCCUCUGGUCUUGAUUUUUUUUCAUAUGGAGCUGAUACUCAUUAUGGUAGUGGGCGUUUCCUUUCUUUUAUAGUUAGUCAAUCCGUACAGGAUUUCGCAACGUGUGUGUGUGUGUGUGUGUGUGUGAGAUUGUUGUGGCCAAAAUGCUUGAUUUUUCUGCUGUUUUUUUCUUUUCUUUUUUUUUUUUCUUUUUUUUUUUUUUUUACAUCUGCGACGCAACCUGCAGGGCAAUUGCACAGAAUUGAGUUGCAUGGUCAGUCCCUCCGGGGUUUUGCAGGUGGCAGAACACAACGCAAAAUCAAGCAAACUUCGCUGCAGAAUUGGGCCGAGACAUGUCAUGUGACUUCAUCACAGUGCGCAGUCACCCAAAACCCCCUACAAUUCGCUUGCGUCAAACAUGAGUCACAUUUACUGACAAAAAUGCCGUUUCGCCAGUUCAAGACAUUUUCUGCAAAAAAAAAGCACCAAAAAAAAAUUGUGCAUCACAAAUUUUGUGAGAGAAAAAGCCGCAGCAAAAUCAAGAACUUUUAGCCAACAAUCACGCAAAAAAAAACUCUGCAAAAUCCUGUACAGUCUGGUAAAUAAGACCUGUUAGCUGUACUCGUGUUCGACACACUUGAAUCGAAGAGGGCUUUGGCUGACCGUGC
Molecule: long non-coding RNA, 1156 nt
Organism: Ictalurus punctatus (channel catfish)
Lineage: Eukaryota; Metazoa; Chordata; Actinopteri; Siluriformes; Ictaluridae
Source: Ensembl